ACGGAGGGUGCAAGCGUUAAUCGGAAUCACUGGGCGUAAAGCGCGCGUAGGCGGUCUUUUAAGUCGGACGUGAAAGCCCUCGGCUCAACCGGGGAACUGCGUUCGAAACUGGGAGACUUGAGUCCUGGAGAGGGUGGCGGAAUUCCGGGUGUAGGAGCGAAGUCCGUAGAUACCGGGAGGAACGCCGGUGGGGAAGGCGGCCACCUAGAAAGGGACUGACGCGGAGGCGCGAAAGCGUGGGGAGGGAGGAG
This 251-nucleotide ribosomal RNA is filed under the name uncultured prokaryote. Its description in RNAcentral is "partial 16S rRNA". It matches the Rfam family "Bacterial small subunit ribosomal RNA", at positions 525 to 775 of the family's 1533-position model. The record is from RNAcentral.